RNAcentral lists this ribosomal RNA (518 nucleotides) under uncultured bacterium. RNAcentral describes it as "partial 16S ribosomal RNA". It matches the Rfam family "Bacterial small subunit ribosomal RNA", at positions 28 to 523 of the family's 1533-position model. The record is from RNAcentral.
GACGAACGCUGGCGGCGUGCUUAACACAUGCAAGUCGAACGGAGAAUUUAUUUCGGUAAAUUCUUAGUGGCGAACGGGUGAGUAACGCGUGGGCAACCUGCCCUUCAGAUGGGGACAACAUCCCGAAAGGGGUGCUAAUACCGAAUACGAUCACGCUGCCGCAUGGCGGUGUGAUGAAAGAUGGCCUCUAUUUAUAAGCUAUCGCUGAAGGAUGGGCCUGCGUCUGAUUAGCUAGUUGGUGGGGUAACGGCCUACCAAGGCGAUGAUCAGUAGCCGGUCUGAGAGGAUGAACGGCCACAUUGGGACUGAGACACGGCCCAAACUCCUACGGGAGGCAGCAGUAGGGAAUAUUCCGCAAUGGACGAAAGUCUGACGGAGCAACGCCGCGUGAGUGAUGAAGGUUUUCGGAUCGUAAAGCUCUGUUGUUUGAGGCGAAUGUGCCUGUUUCGAAUAGGGAUAGGUAAUGACGGUAUUAAACGAGAAAGCCACGGCUAACUACGUGCCAGCAGCCGCCGUAA